GCCUCAGACUCUCAGUUGAUAGUAUCAUAGGCAUGUGCCACCAUGCCGGACAUUAUUUUAAUUUAAAAACUUUGUAAUCAGAUGGAAGGAGGAGGAUCAGGAGUUUAAGGCAAAUUUCAGCCACAUAGUUAACUUGAGGCUAGCUUGGGCUAGAGGUGGGACCUUGUCUCCAAACAGACAGUAAAGUCAAUAAAGACAAAAAAAAAUCUUUUCUCAUUCCUUUCUCACUGUUUAAUUUUGGUUCUGUUUUCUACGAUGUGACCGCUGCCUCAUGUCCCUGCCUUCUUCACUGUGAUGGGUAACCCCCACCCCCAACGAUGAACCAAAAUAAACCCUUCUCUCCCUAGGGUCUGCUCUGACAGGUGUCAAUCACAGGGACAAGUAGAAUAACUAACCAGGCAAUGCUAACUGGCUGCUCGUUUUCUGGAAUGUGAGCCACAGGAGGGUAGGCUCUUCUCUGAUUCAUUCACUGAUGUAGUCAGAGCCUGGGAAUAUGCUAUAGAACACCUAAAUGUAAGAUGCUCAAUAAAUAUUUAUUAAAUCAAUCUCAUUACAACU
This 558-nucleotide long non-coding RNA is filed under the name Mus musculus (house mouse). Its description in RNAcentral is "long non-coding RNA chr5:114975455-114976013". The record is from RNAcentral. Lineage: Eukaryota; Metazoa; Chordata; Mammalia; Rodentia; Muridae.